This 423-nucleotide ribosomal RNA is filed under the name uncultured prokaryote. Its description in RNAcentral is "bacterial SSU rRNA". It matches the Rfam family "Bacterial small subunit ribosomal RNA", at positions 355 to 774 of the family's 1533-position model. The record is from RNAcentral.
UGGGGAAUAUUGGUCAAUGGGCGCAAGCCUGAACCAGCAAUCCCGCGUGCAGGAAGACGGCCCUAUGGGUUGUAAACUGCUUUUCCAGGGAGAGAAACUUGCGUACGUGUUGCGCAAUUGACGGUACCCUGGGAAUAAGCAUCGGCUAACUCCGUGCCAGCAGCCGCGGUAAUACGGAGGAUGCGAGCGUUAUCCGGAUUCAUUGGGUUUAAAGGGUGCGUUGGCGGACUAUUAAGUCAGUGGUGAAAUCCUGCAGCUUAACUGCAGAACUGCCAUUGAUACUGAUAGCCUUGUGUUUGGUUAAGGUAGGCGGAAUGUGUAAUGUAGCGGUGAAAUUCUUAGAUAUCACACAGAACAACAAUUGCGUAGGCAGCUUACUGAGCCGACACUGACGCUGAGGCACGAAAGCGUGGGGAUCGAACA